AUUGAACGCUGGCGGCAGGCCUAACACAUGCGAGUCGAGCGGAUGAAGGGAGCUUGCUCCUGGAUUCAGCGGCGGAUGGGUGAGUAAUGCCUAGGAAUCUGCCUGGUAGUGGGGGAUAACGUCCGGAAACGGGCGCUAAUACCGCAUACGUCCUGAGGGAGAAAGUGGGGGAUCUUCGGACCUCACGCUAUCAGAUGAGCCUAGGUCGGAUUAGCUAGUUGGUGGGGUAAAGGCCUACCAAGGCGACGAUCCGUAACUGGUCUGAGAGGAUGAUCAGUCACACUGGAACUGAGACACGGUCCAGACUCCUACGGGAGGCAGCAGUGGGGAAUAUUGGACAAUGGGCGAAAGCCUGAUCCAGCCAUGCCGCGUGUGUGAAGAAGGUCUUCGGAUUGUAAAGCACUUUAAGUUGGGAGGAAGGGCAGUAAGUUAAUACCUUGCUGUUUUGACGUUACCAACAGAAUAAGCACCGGCUAACUUCGUG
This 484-nucleotide ribosomal RNA is filed under the name uncultured bacterium. RNAcentral describes it as "partial 16S ribosomal RNA". It matches the Rfam family "Bacterial small subunit ribosomal RNA", at positions 30 to 507 of the family's 1533-position model. The record is from RNAcentral.